Molecule: ribosomal RNA, 434 nt
Filed under: uncultured Ruminococcus sp.
Lineage: Bacteria; Bacillati; Bacillota; Clostridia; Eubacteriales; Oscillospiraceae
Description: partial 16S ribosomal RNA
Rfam family: Bacterial small subunit ribosomal RNA
Source: RNAcentral
ACGGAAGGCAGCAGUGGGGAAUAUUGCACAAUGGGCGCAAGCCUGAUGCAGCGAUGCCGCGUGAGGGAAGAAGGUUUUCGGAUUGUAAACCUCUGUCAACAGGGACGAUAAUGACUGUACCUGUGAAGGAAGCUCCGGCUAACUACGUGCCAGCAGCCGCGGUAAUACGUAGGGAGCAAGCGUUAUCCGGAAUUACUGGGUGUAAAGGGAGUGUAGGCGGGACUGUAAGUCAGAUGUGAAAUAUGCCGGCUCAACUGGCAGACUGCAUUUGAAACUGCGGUUCUUGAGUGAAGUAGAGGAAAGCGGAAUUUCUAGUGUAGCGGUGAAAUGCGUAGAUAUUAGGAAGAACACCGGAGGCGAAGGCGGCUUUCUGGACUGAAACUGACGCUCAGGCACGAAAGCGUGGGGAGCAAACAGGAUUAGAUACCCUGGUA